GAUGAAGAACGCAGCGAAAUGCGAUAAGUAAUGUGAAUUGCAGAAUUCAGUGAAUCAUCGAAUCUUUGAACGCACAUUGCGCCCCCCAGUAUUCUGGCGGGCAUGCCUGUUCGAGCGUCAUUUCAACCAUCAAGCCCUGCUUGUGUUGGGGUCCUGCGGCUGCCCGCAGGCCCUGAAAACCAGUGGCGGGCUCGCUAGUCACACCGAGCGCAGUAGCACAUCUCGCUCAGGGCGUGCGGCGGGCUCCAGCCGUUAAAGCACCCACCUUUCGCAAGGUUGACCUCGGAUCAGGUAGGAAUAUCCGCUGAACUUAAGCAUAUCAAUAAGCGGAGGA
This 334-nucleotide unclassified non-coding RNA is filed under the name soil metagenome. RNAcentral's name for it is "partial contains 5.8S ribosomal RNA, internal transcribed spacer 2, and large subunit ribosomal RNA". The stretch from base 1 to 120 matches the Rfam family "5.8S ribosomal RNA", at positions 35 to 154 of the family's 154-position model. The record is from RNAcentral.